This is a small nuclear RNA of Cavia porcellus (domestic guinea pig), 104 nucleotides long. Lineage: Eukaryota; Metazoa; Chordata; Mammalia; Rodentia; Caviidae. The record is from Ensembl.
GCUGGCUUUGGCAGCAAAUGUACAGACUGGAGCAACACAAAGAAGAUUAGCAAGGUCCCUGCAUAAGGAAAACAUGCAGACUUGAAGUAGUAGAUGCAAGUCUA